Molecule: ribosomal RNA, 460 nt
Filed under: uncultured bacterium
Lineage: Bacteria
Description: partial 16S ribosomal RNA
Rfam family: Bacterial small subunit ribosomal RNA
Source: RNAcentral
CCUACGAGUGGCAGCAGUGAGGAAUAUUGGUCAAUGGACGGAAGUCUGAACCAGCCAUGCCGCGUGCAGGAAGACGGCUCUAUGAGUUGUAAACUGCUUUUGUACAAGGAUAAACCUGAAUAUGUGUAUUCUGCUGAAAGUACUGUACGAAUAAGGAUCGGCUAACUCCGUGCCAUCAGCCGCGGUAAUACGGAGGAUCCAAGCGUUGUCCGGAUUUAUUGGGUUUAAAGGUUGCGUAGGCGGAUUGUUAAGUUAGAGGUGAAAUGUCCGAGCUUAACUCGGGAAUUGCCGGUAAUACUGGUGGUCUGGAGAGUAGAUGCGGUAGGCGGAAUGUAUGGUGUAGCGGUGAAAUGCUUAGAGAUCAUACAGAACUCCGAUUGCGAAGGCAGCUUACUAAACUGUAACUGACACUGAAGCACGAAAGCGUGGGGAUCAAACAGGAUUAGAUACCCGGGUAGUC